Molecule: long non-coding RNA, 1302 nt
Filed under: Setaria viridis
Lineage: Eukaryota; Viridiplantae; Streptophyta; Magnoliopsida; Poales; Poaceae
Description: long non-coding RNA (SVIR_LNC004965)
Source: RNAcentral
ACCUCUCUUCCUUUUAUUAUUAGACCAGUAGGAGGAAUUAGAUUAAGUUUUUAGUUUAAAAAGAAAAUAUGCUCCUAAUAGUUAAAAUAAAAUCUAAAAUAAAGCGCAGCCCUUGUCGAAUCACUCUUAAAUUGCGCACUUCAGUAGUCUCGCUGCUUCAACUUUAUCAGACAGAUAUUUGGUACUCCCUCCGUCCGAGAAGGCGGUUCGUUUAACCUCCAAAAUUUAUCCCACAAAAAAUGUUUAUAUAGUUUUAUCCAACCCUCAUAACAUAUGAAUCGAUCAUUUACUCCCACCAUCAGCCAGACUCGCUAAAUAAGAAGACUAACAUGUCCGACAAUUACUGCAAGCGUGCAUGCCAAAUUAAUUCUACUCGGUAAUCCAUCUGGCAGCUCGGAUGCCAAAACAGAUUAAGAAGAAUUAUUAGGGGUACUUUGAACUUUUAACAUUGCUAAUAUCCUAUCUAAAAUUUUCUAAACGAAGUCUUUAUAGUACGGAGGGAGUAGUCAACAAGUGAAAACUCAUGACAGUGGCAACUGAUACUGGCGUAGCUAUGGUUUCGAGUUAGGAUGGUCCAGCUUAACAUUGUUUAAAAGAUAUACAUUAUCAUCUCCACACCUUUUCGCGGUUUUGAAGGAUGAACGACUCAUGCUUAUGCAAAAUGACGAGGGAGCGAUGCUUCUUUUUAUGAAUUGGAACAUCAAAAUUUUUAUGGAUUGGAACAUCAGAAUAGGUGGUAAUGGGCUUGGUAUAGAUUUUUAGGGUGGUCCCUGACCCACACGGACCACCCUCUAGCUCCCAUAGUAAUGGUGCCUAUCUUAAAACAAGAGAGAGAGGUUAAUGUAAUGCAAUGAUACUCAAUACUCAAUAGUAGCAACACGGACCACCCUCUAGCUUCUAUAGUAUUAAUGGUGCCCAUCUUGGAACAAGAAAGAGGUUAAUGCAAUGCAAUGAUACUCAAUACUCAAUUAAUGCAAUGCAAUGAUAUUCAAUACUCAAUAGUAGCAAACUAUGGCAUGGUGUUGUAGUAAUGUUAGGGCUAGUUUGGCUGGGCUCCAGUAGCCCCAAGGAGCCGGAGGAGCCACAAAUUGUGAGGGGGAGGAGAAGGAGAGAGAAAAGAAGCUCCAUGCUACAGUAAAUGAACAGUAGCCCGUCAGAAGGAGCCGGAGCCAGGAGGAGCUCCACCAAACUGGCUCUUAGUUUCGUGGUCUGGUUUUACAUGUACUGAUGUACGGAAUACAUACUUCCCGAGAUAGUCUAUGUUCUUGAGUCAAAAUACAUACUUCCCUAAGACCUAUAUUC